AUUGAACGCUGGCGGCAUGCCUUACACAUGCAAGUCGAACGGUAGAGGGGGCAACCCCUCGAGAGUGGCGAACGGGUGAGUAAUGCAUCGGAACGUGCCCAGUAGUGGGGGAUAGCCCGGCGAAAGCCGGAUUAAUACCGCAUGAGACCUACGGGUGAAAGGGGGGAUCGCAAGACCUCCCGCUAUUGGAGCGGCCGAUGUCAGAUUAGGUAGUUGGUGGGGUAAAGGCCUACCAAGCCGACGAUCUGUAGCUGGUCUGAGAGGACGACCAGCCACACUGGGACUGAAACACGGCCCAGACUCCUACGGGAGGCAGCAGUGGGGAAUUUUGGACAAUGGGCGAAAGCCUGAUCCAGCCAUGCCGCGUGCGGGAAGAAGGCCUUCGGGUUGUAAACCGCUUUUGUCAGGGAAGAAAUCCUUUGAGCUAAUACCUCGGGGGGAUGACGGUACCUGAAGAAUAAGCACCGGCUAACUACGUGCCAGCCGCCGCAGUAA
This 495-nucleotide ribosomal RNA is filed under the name uncultured bacterium. RNAcentral describes it as "partial 16S ribosomal RNA". It matches the Rfam family "Bacterial small subunit ribosomal RNA", at positions 29 to 523 of the family's 1533-position model. The record is from RNAcentral.